UCAGGCCUAACACAUGCAAGUCGAACGAGACCUUCGGGUCUAGUGGCGCACGGGUGCGUAACGCGUGGGAAUCUGCCCUCUGGUACGGAAUAACUCAGGGAAACUUGAGCUAAUACCGUAUAAUGACUUCGGUCCAAAGAUUUAUCGCCGGAGGAUGAGCCCGCGUCGGAUUAGCUUGUUGGUGAGGUAAAGGCCCACCAAGGCGACGAUCCGUAGCUGGUCUGAGAGGAUGAUCAGCCACACUGGGACUGAGACACGGCCCAGACUCCUACGGGAGGCAGCAGUGGGGAAUAUUAAGCAAUGGGCGCAAGCCUGAUCCAGCAAUGCCGCGUGAGAAAGAAGGCCCUAGGGUUGUAAAGCUCUUUACCCGGGAUGAUAA
Molecule: ribosomal RNA, 379 nt
Filed under: uncultured bacterium
Lineage: Bacteria
Description: bacterial SSU rRNA
Rfam family: Bacterial small subunit ribosomal RNA
Source: RNAcentral